AGAGUUGUGGCUCAGUGGUAGAGCACUUGCCUGGCAUGAUGAGGCCCUGGGUUCAAUACUCAGCAGCACAU
This 71-nucleotide transfer RNA is filed under the name Marmota marmota marmota (Alpine marmot). It matches the Rfam family "tRNA". From Rfam's summary of the family: Transfer RNA (tRNA) molecules are approximately 80 nucleotides in length. RNAcentral also lists the same sequence under 1 other name. Lineage: Eukaryota; Metazoa; Chordata; Mammalia; Rodentia; Sciuridae. The record is from Rfam by way of RNAcentral.